This is a long non-coding RNA of Vitis vinifera (wine grape), 375 nucleotides long. RefSeq lists it as uncharacterized. Lineage: Eukaryota; Viridiplantae; Streptophyta; Magnoliopsida; Vitales; Vitaceae. The transcript is spliced from 3 exons. The record is from RefSeq and is a predicted model, not a curated record.
AUUGUCUCAUUGUUUUCUCGUUUUUCACACUCAACUCAAGAUGCUCAUUGACUUAUCUACUUGAGCAGUUAGUAGAUGAAUUGUUAGUAUUCUCUAAAGGUUUGCCGACUAUAUCCAUUAUGGGGGACUCUUCUGCCUCAUACAUUCACAUGGUACGACAGCUGAUAGAGCUAGAAGUGUUUUAUCUUCAACAUGAGUAAAGAAGAGUGCAUGGAAGCCCUAUCCAAACAUGCAGGCAUCAAACCAGUCAUCACCUCCACUGUGUGGAAUGAACUGGAUAAGGAGAACAAGGAAUUCUUUGAGUCCUACUUCACUGGCUUAACCCAAAUCAAAGCUGAUAGAAUGUCAGAGGCGGAAUUUAGAAGAUGAUAUCAG